Molecule: ribosomal RNA, 468 nt
Filed under: uncultured bacterium
Lineage: Bacteria
Description: partial 16S ribosomal RNA
Rfam family: Bacterial small subunit ribosomal RNA
Source: RNAcentral
GACGAACGCUGGCGGCGUGCUUAACGCAUGCAAGUCGAACGGAAAGGCCCUGCUUUUGUGGGGUGCUCGAGUGGCGAACGGGUGAGUAACACGUGAGUAACCUGCCCUUGACUUUGGGAUAACUUCAGGAAACUGGGGCUAAUACCGGAUAGGAGCUCCUGCUGCAUGGUGGGGGUUGGAAAGUUUCGGCGGUUGGGGAUGGACUCGCGGCUUAUCAGCUUGUUGGUGGGGUAGUGGCUUACCAAGGCUUUGACGGGUAGCCGGCCUGAGAGGGUGACCGGCCACAUUGGGACUGAGAUACGGCCCAGACUCCUACGGGAGGCAGCAGUGGGGAAUAUUGCACAAUGGGCGGAAGCCUGAUGCAGCAACGCCGCGUGCGGGAUGACGGCCUUCGGGUUGUAAACCGCUUUCGCCUGUGACGAAGCGUGGGUGACGGUAAUGGGUAAAGAAGCACCGGCUAACUACGUG